AAAUGAAUAGACGGGGGCCCGCACAAGCGGAGGAACAUGUGGUUUAAUUCGAUGAUACGCGAGGAACCUUACCUGGGCUUGAAUGCAGGUUGACAGACUGGGAAACUGGUUCUUCUUCGGACAACUUGCAAGGUGCUGCAUGGUUGUCGUCAGCUCGUGCCGUGAGGUGUAGGGUUAAGUCCCAUAACGAGCGCAACCCUUAUUGUUAGUUGCCAGCGGGUAAUGCCGGGGACUCUAGCGAAACUGCCGGUGUAAACCGUGAGGAAGGAGGGGAUGACGUCAAAUCAGCACGGCCCUUAUGUCCAGGGCGACACACGUGUUACAAUGGCCGGUACAAAGGGCAGCUACCUGGUGACAGGAUGCUAAUCUCCAAAACCGGUCUCAGUUCGGAUCGAAGUCUGCAACUCGACUUCGUGAAGCCGGAUUCGCUAGUAAUCGCGCAUCAGCCACGGCGCGGUGAAUACGUUCCCGGGCCUUGUACACACCGCCCGU
This 492-nucleotide ribosomal RNA is filed under the name uncultured bacterium. Its description in RNAcentral is "bacterial SSU rRNA". It matches the Rfam family "Bacterial small subunit ribosomal RNA", at positions 903 to 1397 of the family's 1533-position model. The record is from RNAcentral.